This 253-nucleotide ribosomal RNA is filed under the name uncultured bacterium. RNAcentral's name for it is "partial 16S ribosomal RNA". It matches the Rfam family "Bacterial small subunit ribosomal RNA", at positions 524 to 776 of the family's 1533-position model. The record is from RNAcentral.
UACGGGGGGGGCAAGCGUUGUUCGGAAUUACUGGGCGUAAAGGGCUCGUAGGCGGCCAACUAAGUCAGACGUGAAAUCCCUCGGCUUAACCGGGGAACUGCGUCUGAUACUGGAUGGCUUGAGGUUGGGAGAGGGAUGCGGAAUUCCAGGUGUAGCGGUGAAAUGCGCAGAUAUCAGGAGGAACACCUAUUGCGAAGGCAGCUCGCUGGGACGUAACUGACGCUGAGACGCGAAAGCGUGGGGAGCAAACAGG